ACUUUCAUAGUGUAUUUACCAUUCUUUUCUUUUCUUUUCUUUUUUAUUUUAUAUAGGCAAAUAGAUCAACAUUGAAAAGCACAUCACAGAAAAAGAUUGGGCACACACACAAACACGGGGCAGUUCUAUUUUCAUAGUUAUUCAGGUAUUUUCAAUAUUCAUGGUUGACAGGCCAAGGAGAGAAUUUUGUGGCUAUUACCAUUUUAAAAAACAAAAAUAAAAAUAAAUAAAUAAAUAAGAUGGCAUCAUGCACAUCAAUCCUCACACCAUUUGAAUCCAAAACUAAAGAACUUGUUUGGCAACAUUUGUGAAAACAGUUCUCAAAAAACAAUUUUUGUGAACAGUUCUUGAUUAUUUUCAAGAACAAAAUUCUAUUUGGGUACUCCAAUAUGAAAAACAGUUUUCCCAACUUAUUCUCCAUGAGAGUAGUAUGCAUUUAUGUAUAAUGCAAAAGUUCCUAAAGUAUUCUCAAUAGUUUCAAGUGUUACUAAGAAUACUCUAUAAAUAACAGCUGAAAACACCUCAAAUUUGUUCUAAAAAACAGUCAAUUUUCACAACAAAUUCUCAAAAAAAAAUAUUUCUAUCAAAAAAAUUGUCAAACAUGUUUUCCAAGUUAGAACAUGGUUUUUUGCUAUAAAGAACAAAAAAACUGUUUUUAAGAACAGUUUCCAACAAACCCUAAGGAUUCAACUCUCUAAGUAUCAAUAUCACCAAUAUCAAUGCAAAUUAAUAACAGCAUAUUCCAUUUUUUUCAAAUUAUUAAAGAUGUUAACAAGUAUUAGUCUUAGCAUCAAACUAUUCCAGCAAGGUGUGAAUUAAAAUGCUCAUUCUAAAGUCAGUUUCUUUAUUUAGAAAGUUGUGUAGGUGAAGAUUCUUAUUGUCUGCAAUUUAUGAGAAGAGGUAGUAUCCUUGUGUUGUCUGUGUUGCUUGUGCAAACAAAAGGACAAAUUGGCUAACCCAUACUCUUACUCAUUGUGAUUGUGCACAUAGCUUAUGAUCUCCAUUGUUUGCCAUCUUUGGAGUUGCUUGGGUUUGGCCUUUCUUAGUCAAGAACAUGCUCAUUACCGGCAUAAUAAGUUCAUGGGCAAGAGGAGGAUGGAGAGAAUGCCCCUUUGUGCUUAUUCUUGCCUCUAAACAGAGCACAUCAAAGAAAUUUUGGAGUGUCGGGAUCAGGUUCUGAAACAUUAUUUCCCUGAAUUCCUAUUUCUUUGCUCAAGGAAUUCCUAAGGUGUUAGGAAGCUGUCUUUCUUAGACAUUGUUUAUGAAAUGGGGAUGGUUUAAAGCCUUCUUAGCAACCAUAGUUCCAUUUUAUUCUUUCCUUUUGUUUCUUAGUGUUCAUUGCUUGCUUUUCAACUACCCAAGUUGUCCUAGUUCAACCCAAGUUGCAUGCCUACCUCACAUGGUUUCAGUCCCCUUGUACUGUUUCUCUUCCUCUGAUAAUAUUCUUUUUCUUAUUAAAAAGCAUCAAAAAGGAUGAGGGAAGGAGGAAUAGGCAAUGAACCUAAUGGCGGAAAGCCUUUUAAAGACUAUUCAAGGAAGAUGGAAGACCUAAGUAAACUUUAAGUAUAAUUAAUAUUAAUUAGAAUUGAAUUAGGAUUACUAUUUGUUGGAGUCAAAUUAGGAUUAGCUAAUUAAAUUAUAAUAUAAUUAGAAUUUGAGUCAUAAUAGGUUAUUAGAGUCCUAGUAGACUUUGGAUGUUAUAAUUAGGAUUAGAUUCAUAAUAGGUUAUUAGAAUCCUAAUAGACCUUGGAUUGCUUAGAGAAGCCUAUAAAUGGGCUGAUUGAUGUAAAUCAAAGAAAUGAAUUGAUUGAUAUUAAUAAUAUUAUGUUUUUCUUCAUUGCAAGUGUUGCAAUCCUCAAUGGUGAGAUUCCAUUGAUUUUCUUCUAAGUGAGACUCCUAGAAGGUCUUAGUGAGACUCUAAGGUUCUCAUUUUUUCUUCAUCGUUUCUUCUCUCUCUAUUUUUUUUUUUUUUUUUUUUUCUACCAUAAACUUUAUUCCUUAUUCCUCUCCUUAUACUCUAAAAUCAAAACCCUAGCCCACCUACUUUGAGUGUAGGCAACCAUCUUAGGGUUGUCCUACAUCAAUUCCUUCUCCGAUGUUAUCACUCCUCUCUUAGCCAAGAAACCCACUUCCAUAUCAACAACAUUAAACAUCUAAGAAACUAUGCACUAAGGAUUAAUAAAAGUCCUUUACAUCCUUCAAACUGUAGGCAUAUCUCCAAGAUCCACAUGCUCUACUGCAAACCCACCUGAAAAUGGUGGAAAAAUUCUUAUUUAACAAUGAUUUCUAUAAUGGUAAUUUUGGACAAAUUGGAGGCAUUCCUGAAGGCCUUAAAGAAGAGCUAUAAUUUCCACAUCUAAGAAGUCCAACCAAUACAAUUUUAAAUAGAAAGUCAACUCAUUGAAGCUCAAGUUAUCUUAAGCAGCUAGAGGGGAAUCCACUUAAAGCAUAUUCAAUAGUGAAAGCACAAAGCCUGUUUAUUACCUCUAAUCCCAAAAAAAAUUUAAAAAAAAAAAAAAAAAAAGCCAAAGAGUAUAGAGCCAAUCAAAGCCCUAGUCAAUGCUAGGAUGGCAAUUCUAUCCCACAUAUGAUUUUUUUUCUUUUUGAUAUAUUUUUUCUUUUUUUAAUUUUAUGAUAGGCAAAGAUCAAUUAUAUCAACAUUGCCUAACAAAAGGGUAUACAAAGGCAUAUACUGUAAAUACAAGGAUGCUAAAAGCCAAAAUGAAUCUCUAGCUUUGCUUAGAUUUAACCAGUUAACAAAGUCCAUCAUGGAGAAACAACUAUCUCCUGUGUACACUCUAACCCACUCCAAAAUGUUAUAUAUAAUUAUUUGAUUGUUUGAUCCACUUUUUCAAAAUUAUCAAAUGCUCUCAUAUUUCUCUCCCUCCAUAUGAUUUAAAAUAAGCACAAAGAAGCAACUCUCCAAGUUUUCUUCUUCGUUCCAAAAAAGGAUCCAUGUCAAUUGAGGAAUGUAUCACCCAAUCUAUUCCAAAUAAAGCAUGAAUCAGUUGUAAUAGGAUGACUACGUUCUAACAGUGAAGAAGGAUGUGAUCAACAGUUUGUUCUUCUCCUUUGCAAAGAUAGCAUUUGUUCAAAAUCCUCUAACCCCUCCUUUUGAGUUGAUCCAAAGUCAAUAUCCUUCGUUGAAUAGUUUCUCAGGUGACAGUAUCCAAUAAUUCCAAUCAAUACUAGAAGGGAAUGUCUCCAUUCUUAAAUUUGAUACAGAGGAUAAAGAAAUUUAACUAAAAAAAAUGUCUUUCCUUGAAUUCAACCAAACCAUUUUAUCAUUUAUAUCCCUAUAAAUUGUUUGUGCUAACAGCUUUUAAGAAAGGCCUUCAUGCCAUCUAUCUCCCAGUAAUGAAUCUAUCUUACAAACCUCGAGUUCUAAUAAUCUCCCAUGCCAUCCUGCUCCCAUACAUCAACUAACCAUGCAUCUUUACCCGUGGCUAAUAAGAAUAAUUCUGAAAAAACUUCGUCUAGGAACAAGUCACCAGCCCACCUAUCCUUGCAUAAUUUCACAUUCCACCCACCACCUACAUUAAAACUAGUUUGAUUGUUAAAGGUCUCCCACCAGCUUACACACCCACCCCAUACCCUUCCCCCACUUCUUGAGAGCACCACCUCCCCAUACUUCCCUACCAUAGUUUUAAAAGGCUCAAGGCGCACCAAGGCACAAAGUAGUCCUGGAGCCUGAGGCGCAGGUUUUAGUGAAGUGAGGCACACCCUAAUUUACAUAUAUUUUUCCUCCUCUUCUUCGCCUUCUUCACUUCUCCAUUGCACAGCUGAGGCUAGGGCAAAAUUUGGGAGAGUUGUCGGGUUGAAAGCAACCAGAAAAGGGGGCUGGAAGGGAAAACAGGGCCAAAACAUCAUUGUUUUGGCCUGUUUUUUAUUUUAAAGGAACAGGCUCCAAAACAGCAUUGUUUUGGCUUGCUCUUUUUAAAAUAAAAAGGGCUAAAACGAAAUCAUUUUGACCCAUUUUUAAAAAGGUCUAAAACGACGUCGUUUUGGUCCCAAAAAAUCAAAAAAAAAAAAAAAUUAAGGUUUCUCUCUGCCCUUUGCAACCUGACACCGGAGAAGAAGAAAAAAAAAAAAAAAAAAAGGAGAAGGAGAAGGUAGGGGAUCAAGGCACACCUGUGGACCGCAUCACGCCUUGCACGCCUAAGCGGCGCCUUCAUGAAGGGGUGUCGCCUACCUUCAGGCAAGGCGUCGAAGGAUGGCGUCAUGCCGCCUGGAGCCUAGGCACGCCUUUCACAACUAUGUUCCCUACAAAUAACAAUCACCUACUUCUAAAGAGAUUGUCUUUCCAUAGCGAACCUUCAACACCAUUUGUCCAAAAGAGCUUGUUAAUGAUGGAUAGAUUUCUAACACCCAACACUAUUUUCUUUCUCAUGCAAACCAUCAACCAAUUCACCAAAUGUGGUUUUCUCACGAUAAACUCUCCCACCAAAAGAGAUCACUUUGGAUCCUUUUUAGCUUUAACCUCACCAUUUUUAAGAUGACAAAUAAAGACAUGAAGUAAAUUCAAGUGUUGGACAGAGUAUUCUUUAUUAGAGCUAUUCUUCCUCUUUUUGAUAGGGUAUUGCUUCUUCCACAUAGAUAGUUGCUUCUAAAAUUUUUCGUCUAUCACAUCCCAAACCCAUGACACACUGAAUGGACCUACCUACAUUGUAGCACCCUAGGUAGUUCCUCCAAGUUAGCAACUAUCCUAACAAGGAUCAACUCACCUUUUUUCAGAUUCAUUUUUAACUUAAGAUUGCCCUAAAUUACGUGAACGUUUAGUUCAAAUGUUCCAUAUGCUCCUUAGUAGCAUCGUAGAGAAUAAGAGUGUCAUUAGCAAAUAACAUAUGGGAUACUUUCAAUCCCUCAUCUCCUCUUCCACUAACUAAGAACCCUUCUAUGAAACCCCCUUCCUUAACUUUUUUCAGAAUGUGAGAGAGGGACUCCAUGGCCAUGAUAAAGCAAUAUGGGAACAAAGUGUCACUGUGUCUCAAGCCUCUUAAACUUAGGAAAAAGCAUGUUAGAGUCUCAUUAACCAAUAUGGACAAGUGAGUCAUAGAGUUACACCACUUAAUCCAUCUCAUCCAUCUAGGACCAAUUCUUUUUUUUUCCAAGAUCACUAACAAAAAGCCCUAAGUUGGCAUGAUCAUAUGCCUUCUAAAUGUCUAAUUUACAUGUGACCCCAUUGACGGUGUUUUUCAACCUUAAGUUGAUGACUUCAUUAGUUAUGGGGACCACAUCCAAAAUUUGUCUCCCCUCCACAAACGCAUACUAAAAGUCCAAAAUCAUUUUUUUCACCACCGCCAAAUUGACUGGCCGAAAUCUUACAAAUCUUCUGCACCCCACUUUGUUUAGACAAAGACUAUCAAAAUGGCCUCUUAGUUCAUAGAAAUUUGCAAAAGAAGAAAGGGAAAAACACAAACAAACAAAACUUAUCAACUCACCUCACUUUUCACAAAAUCCCAACAAAACUACCAAGGUUAUGGAGAAGUUUUUCAGCCUAGGGGCUUUAUCCCCACAUAAAUUGAAAAAGGCUAAUAAAACCUUCUCCUCAAAACAGUGUCUCCAAGGAUCCUAAUUCUCUCUACACAAAGUUUCCAAACCCUUCCACCAGGGCUCAUAAGAUCCAACUCUAAAGAAUGGAUAAAGGGCUCUCUAGUUACAAAAGAGGCCCACAUCUGCUACAAAUCAUCCACUGGGCUAGCUCCAUUUAAAAUAUUAAGGCCACUAUUUUUUGGCUUAAUGGCUCUCACUACCCAGACUUGCACAAAGCCUACCCUAUUAUCUUAGGCCUUAAUUGGCAAAAUAAGGCCUUUUUGGCCUUCUUCACUUUUCUCGACCACCUCCUCAUUCUUAAGCCCAAUACAACAGCAUUUUGUCUUGCCACUCCAUACUCAACCUUUUUGCUUUUGUCCUAUUACACAUGAAUCGAACCCUCAACCACCCCCAUUUCUCAUCCCAUCCCAACCCAUUACUACUUGAGCUAGGCUUCAACGGCACAUCAUUGACUACUUUCCCCACAAAUGUAGAAUAGAAAGCUUUCUUAGAUCUCCUAGAUUAAAACAAGUUUUUCAAGUCCAUUUAGCAAUAGACUAGCUCGUCUGACUAUUUUCCUCACAAAGGACACAAAUACAAAAUAGAAAGCAUUCUUUCUUGGGUCUCCUAGGAAACAAGUUUUUCAAUUCCAUAUAGCAAUGGAUUAGAUGGUUUCAAAUGCUCCUCAUUCAUAUCACUACAGUUUUUUUUUUUUUUUUUUUUUAAUACAUACGGACAACUUAUUUUUUGUAAGAAGUUUCUUAAGUUGUGUUUGGUUCCUUCUAUUGGGCAUUCACCAACGUAGCUUUUAUUCUUAGAUAGUCACUAAGGUAUGUUUCAUUGGUGACCAUUGCCAUAACAAAGAUUUCAAAAAAUAUGAAGUACACAAGAUAUGCAAACAGGUACCUAUUCAACAAGAAUAACCAAACAAACUCAAUCUAACCAGGAGCUUGGUUUGAGCAAACCUCAAACCACAGAUAGGGUAGGGGUAGGGCUGUCAGCAGCCUAUGCAACUCCUAGUGAUGGGCUUAGACUGGCCUCUAAACCAUCCAUCCUGUUUAAGGAAUUGCUCUAAGCAGAGCACCACAAACACAAUAAGCGGGAAAGGUUUGUUUAAGCUACAUCCAAAAUUGCACUUGGUGAUGUGAUUAAAUUCACUAAUGUUAUAUAAGUCAAUCAAAAGACAACUUAUAUAAGGUAAACCAAAUGUGAAAGCCCCCAUAAGAAAGCAAACCUUGUAUCUCCGGUAGCGUGCCUCAUUAUUUCCCAGAAAUCGCUUAACAAAUGAAUCAGUCAGAAAACCAGCAAGACCAUCCAACAACCACUCUGCCAAUAAGCAAUAAGCAAUAAGCAACCAUAUGAGAAGCCACUGUCUCUUCAAUACAGAUGAAACUAAUGAUCAACAAUAAUUCAAAACCUAAUCAAGCAAUACCAUGAAUAUUUCUACAUGCUUACCAUCAUUUGGUGCCUCAGGACUGAUAAAUACUCCAAACCAUUGCCUUGCAAGGGCAUAAGCAAGUUUAAUCCUCGUAUCUAUUGUCUGCUAAAACAUAAAUAAACCCAUCAGUGUUAUUACCAGAAAAGCAAGGAGAAAAUGAUAAUAAAUUUCUAAGACAGCUGAUAUUAGUAAUAAAACAUCAAUUGAUAAGAAGGCAUGCAUUAUCAUGCACUUCAUGCAUGAUCCAGAUUGAUAGAUGAGUACAUCAUAUGGCAUAAUGCUUAUUAAAAAAAUAUAGGACAAUAACAGCUACUCUGAAUUUCACAGGCUAAGCAUAUAAAACAUUUUGCACCACAUAAACACAUUUCAGGGAGACCCAAAAGGAAAAACAAAAUUUCAAAUGUAUUCAGACAGAUGAUGGAGGCCUGCACACUCAAUUUUACUUCCACAGCCUAUAUGUAGAAUCUAAUCCAAAAAAAUGGGGGUUGUGCUGUUUAGAGUUGAGAAUAUGCAGCUUAAUGCCUAGAAUUUGACUCCAAGAAUAAAAGAUCAUGCUCCUGCAUCAGGAGUUAAGGGUCCAGUGGAAGGAUUUUCGUAUAUGGGUUAGGAAUGUCAUAGAUUAGGAAAACUCAAGGUCAUUAAGGGAAACUUAAGAGAUUGAAAAUAGAAGGCUUUCCAUAAGUUUUAGCCACCCUCUGGCUGAUUUGGCUUGAAAGGAAUACCAGGAUCUUGAAAGAUAGGAGGCCACAAGUUGACGUCUUGUAGGUAAUAUCUAUUUACUUCUCUUUGGGUGGCUAUCACCAAGGAGUUACCUGGUUACUCUCAUUAGUAUUACUUUGUUGGAUGGAAGAUCAAUUUGUCUCUUGGGAUAGUCAUCGACAUCAUAAUUCAUGAGUGAGUGAGCUCCCCUAUACAUUGCCUUGAACUCAAUUUUGAUUAGUGCUUUUGGUUAACCAAGGCAGAUGGGUACUAGGAGGCCUCUUCAGAUAACCAUCAAAACCUGCUAGGUUGGGUCUGGAAUAAAGGUGGACAUUUCAACCUUACAAAAAGACAUGAUAGAUGCAACCACGUUUAUUGUUGCUAACUGUUUGAUGGAGAAGGAUUCAAUGAACACCAUGUCACAAGAAAGGAUAGCUCCAUCAAGAUAUAAUGUGAUUGCAUUGUAUUGUGGCUCUUUCUAUCUUUGCAUUAACUAUUGGACGGCUAGUCAUGAAGUUGAUAACUGGACAAAAAGGGAGCCUACUCAAUCAAGCUUUUUUUGGAGACCUUCUGCCCUCUAGAGUUUCUUUCUACUCACCUUUGCUUAUGUUUGCAAAAUUUAGAGAGGCCUUUUAUGUUGGGAGCCUAUUCUUAUCUUUCAUUUAUUCCUUUCAAAGGAAAAAAAAAAAUAGUAAUCACCGUGAAAAUAAAGCCUUGGUGCACAAUCCUGAGGGUGAACCAAAUCCACAAGGAAGAACAAGAAACUUGAGUUUGAGGCUAUUUUGGAACAAGAGGAAUUGACCCUACGGUGAACAUCUAAAGUAAAAUGGAUUAAGAAAGAGAAUAUAAUUGUAGACUUCUACAUAGGAUUGCCAAUUAGAAACAAAAGAAAAAUAUUCUUACAUCUCUCCUCAUUGAAAAAGGAGAGAAUAAAUUUUUGUUUUACAUAUCAUAAAUAAACAAUUCUUUUCUUUGAAUUGUAAUGGGAUAUAAAGAACAAACUACUCUUCAUAAAAUCAAAACCUGACCAAGAACUAGAAAAACUAGACAAGGUAGACUCAGAGAAGAAAUGUGAUCAUGCGGAUUAGGACUUCCUUGACAAUAUCAUAGAGAAAAGGGCAUAGGUACAGGUGGUGUAUGCCAAUGAGAGCAUGCAUUUUGUCGAUCAAAGCAAACAAUAACUAUACAAUUGGGUGUGGGUUGUUACAAAAUGAUAUCAAAGUCGAUCUCUAACCCCAGUAUAGGGGUUUGUUUGACCCCAUAGGGUGUUUGUUUGUUUGACCUUGCAAUCUCGCGAGACACAACAAAAACAUUGUGUCUACAUGAGAGGGUGUUUUUUAUGUCCCACAUCAGAUAGGGGAAAAAGUUUCUAGCACUACAUAUGUGUGGACUCCUCUUAACCAUGUAGAUGCGUUUUAAAGUCAUGAGAGCCCCUUUGGGCUCAAAGUGAACAAUAUCUAUUGUGGAGAAAGUUCCUAACGCUACAUAUGUAUGGACUCUUUUUAACCAUGUAGACGCAUUUUAAAACCAUGAGAGCCCCUUUGGGCUUAAAAAGAACAAUAUCUACAUGGUUGGGUGUGGGUCAUUAAUCUAUACAAUUUUUUUUUUAUUUUUUUUAUUUUAUAACCAAUGAACCUUUCAUAGCCAAACCCUUAGGACUCUCCAUGGGGACCCAAACCUCGGGGUGUUGACCGCCCCCCAACAACCAACACCAGGUAAAUUCAGGAUAUCAUCAGUGGCAAGAUUCAAACCCAGGACCAUAUGCCACUUACUAGGACCACACUCCCCAAUAUUUGCCCUGACCAACUAGGCUACCCUAAUGAGUCUACACAAUUUUGAUUAAUAUGAAAGCUAGAUGAUGGACUGGGGCUUCUAAGGGUCUUAGGAAAUGGGUUGACCUUCUCUCUUUUCUCUUUAUGAUAGUGGUACAUGUCCUAAGUAGGAUUACUAAUAGAGCUCAAAUUUAAUUUUGUGAUAGGAUUUAAACUCUUAAAAGAGAGGAUUUAUAUUUUGCACCUUUGAUUUGCAAAAGAUAAUAUUUUUCUCUCCUUGAAGAUGAAAUUUUUCUAACUAAACAUAUAUCGGAAGAUUUGGGAUGAUUUCUAACCUUAAACUGUUAACUCCAUCUUGUACCCUUUCAUGAUCAAGUACUACAUCCUCAUAACUUCAAUCUUGACAAAAUACACCAACUCAAAAAGGAUUAGAUUUUUUUUUUUAAUCAGAAACAAAUGCAUUAUUAAAAUGGAUUAAAAGUACAAGUGAAGGAUGAAAAAUCUUCCCAAAUUUACAAAAUCCAAUCAAAAUUAGAGGUAGAGAAACCUUCUCCAAUAUACAUCUAAAGGGUACCACAAGAAACAAAACAAAGAAAAGGCUUAGAUAUCCUUAGACCCUGCCUAUCUUAUCACAAAAUGCCAUAUUGCUCACUAUUGCCAGCUUUCAACCUGGGUUUCAGGGUUCACCAAUUUUCAAUGAAAGGUAAUUUAAGAAAGCUCUUUUCACUUGCUUCUUCCUGCCUCAAAUCCUCCUACCCAGCCUCUCCCUCUCUUCUUCAUCCCUGCAAAGAUCUUGACUGACUGUUUUAAUUCCUUUUACCUGUUGGAAAAUCUCCAACUGCAAGAGCCCAGGAUUCUCCUUUUUUUUUAUCAGAAACAAUAUACAUAUUGAUAAUAAUAAAGUUGAAGAGAAGGAUAAGAGGUCCUUCCCACAAGGUACAAAACCUGAUCAAAGUAAGAGUAUACCCUCCACUGUACAAGGAGAAAUACUGAUAAAAGCAUGUACAAAAUCUCUCAAAAAUCAAAACCAAACUCUCUCAAAAGUUAUCUACCCCUUUCUAAUUACAAACCGAAAGCCAACUAAAUAGAAUAACCUAAAGGGGAAUUCCUCUAAAAGUGAGUAGAAAUGAAUAAGAUCUCAUAACAUCCCUUCCGUUCUACACUUUUCCUCAAAAAUCCUAGCAUUACUCUCUUACCACACAACCUAUAAUACAGUGAAACAUGCAACAUGCCAAAGCAUCUUGCCUCUAAUUGAAUUCCCCAAGCCUCUAAACGAAAUAAUCAUCAUAUCUCCAAUACUCCUUGGUGGAACCCAAUCCAAACUAGCUACACUGAAGAGCUUAUGCCAAAGCCCCAACAUUAUUGGGCAAUGUUGGGGAUGAUCAAUUGAUUUUCCACUCUCUUUGCAUAAAAUGCACCAAUGAGGACUAAGAGAUUUGUAAGGUCUUCUCACUUGUAGCAUAUCAUUGGUAUUAACCUUCUUAUGCACCACUAACCACACAAAGGCCUUGACCUUUGAUAGGACUUUUGAUUUCCAAACAAAAUUAGUCGAAAGGAACAGAAUUGGAUUAGAGGGCUUGGACAAGAUCAUGAAAAAAGAUUUUACUGAAAAUAAUCCAGCGGAGGAUAAGGACCAAACUCUUGAGUCUAUGGUAGAAAAAGCCAGUGGAGAUUUUACUUUUCUUGCCCAAGAUUCUUCUUUUUGGAUCAAAUGAACUUUGUAACACUGUCCUCAAACAUCAAUAACAGGGCAUACCUUGCCUAAACUUUACCUUCUCAACUCCAUCCAGUGUAGGAAAUGGCAAUAUAUCAUCUCUCUCACAAACUGUUCAAUCUCAACUUCUAAUUUAUAAAUAAUAAUAAUAAUUAAAAGAAGAAGAAUAUAAUGAUGAUGAUGAUGAAAACUGAACACAACAAGGGACCACUGUUAACUGUAUCCAAUCUAUUUGACACUAUUGAGCAGGCCAUAAUAAUGUAUUGAACGCAUUUAAGAAUAUUAAACGUUGUUAGAACAUAAAAAAUAUUAAUAAUAGGAACCCACUGGCUUGGGAAUGCAAAAGAGAGAGUAGAUAGCAAUCAGUACAAAGAAACCACAUCUUUGAAGAAAUAAAUAAAUAGUCAUAAUGACCAUAAGUAUAUCAUUGAAUAAUCAUCACAUAACUGACCAACUAAAUUAGUUGAGUAAAUAAACAAACCUGAUCAAUAACCUUCUCAUCAAAUAGAAUUUGAGAACUAAAGAUGCUCAUGGAGGCUCCCAAUGUCAAUGAGGAUAUUGCCAUUUCAGGAGCAAUAAAGACUUGCUUGUAUGAUCCAAAUGGAAAUGAUGCAGAAAGAUAAUCCUCAUAAUGGCUGUGAAAGUAAAACAUGGAUAUUAAAGGAUAGAACCAUGCAGGUAGCAUGAAGAGAUAGAAUUUAAAAUCAAAUUCACACAAGAAAUACAAAAGUCUCAAAUGAAAGUAUAUGAAAAAAUACAAACCUAAAUGCACUAUGGAAGAAACCCACAGUAUUCCAAAGCUUGGGUAAAUUAGCUGGCAAACACAGGUAUGAAAGAAGACCACUAUGGCGGUCAGGAAGUACUUCAAAGGGUGCAACUGCCAAUUGUAUCCACCUUGCAGUAACUGGAACAUUUAACUUAUAGACAUAUGUUUUUCUAGGAGGGUCAUCUUUGCUUAACACCUGUAAAAGAAGAACAAUUGAGUGAUAAAGGUUAGAACAUCAACAAAUACAAAGCCACUAAUCAGUAGAAGAAUACAGCAUUCCACAUGCAAUUCUCAAUAUAUACAAAAAUUUGUUACCCCUUGUAAAUGCAUUUUUUGCUCGGCUCCAUAUUAAUACACAUGUUCUCGUGUGAUAUAAAAGAUUAAGGCACAAAAAGUUCUAUGAGUCUGAGAUGAGAUGACCUCUAUCUUUGUAAUUAUUUGUCUCAGUCACGAAAAGCUCUCAGUUUCAUUUAAAGAAUAGAACAAUGUGGAUUCAUCAGUCACUUUAAGGUGGGGCAUAAGGGAGGAGAACUUUUUGUGACACCAAUUAAGAGCAGCUAAGGUAUCUUAGCUGGGCCCUUGUAUGCAUGUGAAGUCAUACAUGCGCAUGGAAAAUAUGCAUACAUGAGCAUGGUAAAUAUGAUACAUGAGCAUACUAAAUAUACAUAUAUGCACAUAGCAACGUCAAUGGGCAUUUGCCGAUUUUCAAAAAUUCCAUUAACUAACAAAUUAUGAUAAAGAAGAAGGUUGAGUAAGCGAUUGAACUCAAGAAAAAAAUUCACUUGUACCCUUGAUGAUAGACCAUAAACCUUGAGGAAGACCCUGGAAGUGUGGUGAGCGAGGCCCGCAAGCAUAAGGAUUGAUUUAACCAAGAAAGGAAGUAGAUUAGUAUUUAUUAUUAUUAAUUUAUUAUUAUCGAUGUAUCGUGUGUCAUAAUUCUUUUCCUCAAUGGGAGAGAGAGAGCGAGAUCGCGAUGGCGAGGGGGGUGAAGAUAGUGAGGUGCCUCGAAGAAGAAGGAAGGAGAGCAGCUUCGUAGUGGAGUCCAAGGUGUUCGAGCUCACGUUAGUAGAAAGAAGAGGAAAAUCCCAAAUCUACAUCGUGGAGAGAAAGAGGGGGGUCUCGUCUUGGGUUCGAGUGGGAGCGGAGAGUUUAGGGUUUCUCUUGGAAGGUUUAAAUCACUGCAUAAAGAACGAGAAAGAAGGAAGUUGGGAAAGGGAAUGGAAGGAAAAGGGGAGAUCUUACUCCCUGUUGCGAAGUGCGACUAAAGCGGGGUGUUUUCUCCGGCUAGGGGUAGUCGAUUCGGAGCGAAAGCAAUACAACAUUUACAUUCCAAAAGGUAGAGGAGAAAAAGAGGGAUGGGUUUCUAUGGCGGAAAAUCUACAACUAAUGGGAGGAUCAAUCGGUAGAAAGGACAACAUACAAGAAGAAAAGGUUGUUGGGAAACUUGCUUUGGAGAGAACGUACGCGGAAGUGGUGAAGAGGCCGAGAUGUAGGGAUAAAAAUUCAGUCAAAGUGGAGGUACGAAGGGAGGAAAUCCACAGAAAUUUGCAGAAAUUGGAACAUUGCAUCGUUGGGAGUUGGAACCCUAGAUCAGAUGGAGGAGAGGAUUUGAAGAAAUUGGGGAGAUUAUUGGUGAAUUCUUAGGGGAUGAAAGGAAAAUUAGGGUUGGCAAGACUGGAGAAGAGUAGGAUUUUGUUGGAAUUUGAAUUCUUGGAUGAAGCCAAACGCACUCUCUUUUCAGGGGAGCGAAUGAUGGGAGGGCUUCAUUUGAGACUUGAGAAAUGGCGCCCUAGGAGCGGCUGUCGGGAUGAGGAGGAAUUAAGAAACGAAGCCUGGGUCAAAAUUGUUGGGCUACCAGUCUCGAUGUGGGACCCGACCAUUUUGAGAAGGGUGAGGGAUGAGUGUGGUGGCUUCAUUGCCAUCGACCCUCAGACGGAGAAGUUGGAGGAGCUCCAAUGGGCUCGGAUCUUGGUAAAGACGAACGGAGAAUUUAUGCCGAGCAUACUGGAGAUCGGUGUUGAGGAGGAUGUUUACUCCCUUAUUCUAAGGUGGGAGCUUAGACCGUCUUUGAGGAAGGCCAGGGUAGACAGUUGUGAAACGAUCAGUCGAAAAAGUGGGGAGGUUAGGGGUGACGAAUUCUCACGCGCUGGCUCGCGCGUGGAGGAAGAUUCUGAUUUCGAACGGCCCGAGGCACUGUAUUUGUCAGCUGAGGGGAUGGGCGUGCAGGAGAGGGGUUUGGGUCGGGAGGUGAUCGCAGACCGGGCCCAAGGAUCAGCAACCAUGGGCUCAUUGAAAAGGGCCUGUGGGCUGUGUUUGCAAAGUCCAUCAAUGGACCUAAAGUUAAAAGGAGUGGUGGCUGAAGUUGCCGGGCCAAAGGCUGGACCAUCCAAGAAAUGGGCUAUUGAUGAGGCUGGCCCAAUGCCUGAUGGACCAACUAAUCUGGAUGGGGCUAGACCAGACAAGCCCACGACCCAAGGCACAGUCAAAGGCCCCUAGGAGAAGGCCUGUCUUCUGGAAUGUAUAAUAGCCAGAAGCGGGAGGUUCUCAGAGGCAGAACAGUUAGUUUCCUAGGAGACAGAAGGCCUAAGGAAGCAAAAAGCGAAAGCUAUUCUCUCAGCAACAGACAAGGCUCUGGUAGAGGAAGCCAUGAGGUAUGGUUUUGUUUUAAAAACAAGGGAAAAAAUGGUCUAUGGGUCACCUCAUCUUAUUUCUUAUUCUUUUGAUCGGGCUCCGGAGGGAGAGUAUUACGAUCGCUCUGGGGUCUUAGGGGAGGUAACUGGGAUCAAUGAUGAAAAUAUCGGUAAUCACGGAUAUAUCGGUACUUCGAUUUUACAGAUAUAUCGGAUAUAUCAGAGAUAUAUCGGCGGAUAUUUUGGAAACAAAUAUCGAUUAACCUAAAAUUGAUCAAAAUUUAUAAAAAUAUAAGAAAAACUUCAUAAAAAUGUAAUUAAAAGUAUAAUGAUAUUUUUAAAUUAUUUUAUUAAAUGAUUUUAUAUAUGUAUAAUAUGAUUUAUCAUAUUUGAUAAUAAUAUUGUAUGUGCUAAUAAAAAAACUAUAAAUUUCAUAAGUAUAUAUUUAUUAUUAAAUUAUAUCAAAUAUUAUUCAUAAUAAUAUUUGUGAUAUUUUAUUAUAAUAUGUCUAAUUUUAAAAUAUAUUUAAUAUUAAAAUUAUAAUUUAUUUUAUUUAAUUGUAUUAAAUGAUAUAAAAUAAAUGAUAGUAUAUGUAUAAUUUUUAAUACUUAAUUAACAUAUUAAUGAUAUUAAAAACACUAUAAAGAAAAUUAUCACGAUAAUUUUUAUAUUUUUGGUAUUCAAAUAGAUGAAAAAAAUUUAUUUAAUUAUAAAAUAAUUAUAAUUAAUUUGUUCUUUAAAACAUUUUUUUAAAAUUAUGUUUAUAUGAUGAAUUUGACUUUAUAUAUAUCAAGGAGCAAAGUUGCCCCAGCGGUUGGUUCAUUGCCAACCAAACCUUUUGGCUGGGGUUCGAGCCCCCACGACGGAAAUCUUGAGGCAUUUUUAAAAGUUUGACCGCACAGACCGCAUUGACCCUCAUUUGACCGCCCAAAUUAUCGCAAUAUAUUGAAGAUAAAAUGAUAAAAUGCUAAUAAAUCCCGAGAAAUAGGUGAAAUUCAUGAUAAAUUGGUAAAAUAUCGUGAAACCGAUAUUUCUCUUCCAUAUAUCGUGUCGAGAUGCUCUGAUACUCGAUAUUUUCCUCCCUGAUCGGGAUUGAGAAUCCAUUGGGAUUGUUAACUGAAGUUGGGCCCGGAGAGAAUGGCAAUGGCUGCUGGGACUUGGUAGAAAUCACUAGUGUCAGUAACAAGGUUAGGGGUGUGAAAUGGGACUCAGAUAUAUCCGAGCCUCAAGAUAUCAGGAGCGAGAAAGAGGACAGAUGGGAGGAAAGUAGUUUGGCGAAAUUCAGUCACUUCUUGGGUUUUUCGACAGAGGGUCUAGAAAAGGAAAUUCUGAGCUUUUUGAUCAAAAUAAGAAAGAAACGGGAAAGGAUUCAUAGCAAAGAGUUGUUGGAGAAGUCAAAGUUCGAAAGGGAGUUAAAGAGGUUGGAGUGUUCAGUUAAUUAUGAGAAGGUGAAUAAGCAGAAAGGCCCAUCACAGGGCAAAGGGUGUCAAAUUGCAAUAGAUCAAUGAAGCCAAAGUUGUUAAGUUGGAAUGUGAGGGGAGCAAAUGACAGUUUCAAAAGGAAAAUCAUUAAGACUUUCAUAAGGAAUCAAAAGGUUGAUUUACUGUGUAUUCAGGAGACAAAAAUCCAACCAAUGUCGGAGGGUGUGGUGAGAAGCUUAGGUUCAGGGAGAUUCUUAGAUUGGAGGGCUUUGGAUGCGGAUGGGGUAGCGAGAGGCCUAUUGCUUUGUUGGGAUAAAAGGUCGUUGGAAAUAUUGGAUUGGGAGGAGGGUCAAUUCUCUCUAUCUUGCAGAUUCAGGAAUGUGGAAGAUGGGGUUGUUUGGGUGUUCACGAGAGUCUAUGGUCCUUUCACCAAAGAGGAAAUGGAAUGCUUGUGGGAAGAGUUUGGGGCCAUUAGAGGAAUUUGGGAAGAUCCUUGGUGCUUAGGGGGUGAUUUUAAUAUUACUUUAUUCCAAAGAGAAAGAAGCAAACAAGGGAGAAUAACCUCAACGAUGAGGAGGUUUGCUCAUAUUAUCGAUGAGUUAGGAUUGGUGGAUCUUCCACUGCAAGGGGGAGUGUUUACUUGGAGCGAGGGUCUUAACAAUCAGUCAUGGGCUAGACUGGAUAGGUUUCGUGUGUCUCCUAGUUGGUUAGAUCAUUUCAGUGGCGUGCUCCAAAGAAGACUGCCCCGGCCUCUUUCGAAUCAUUUCCCUGUCCUCCUAGAGGGUGGCGGGCUAAGAAGAGGUCCCUCUCCUUUUAGAUUCGAAAACAUGUGGCUUAAGGUUGAGGGCUUUAUAGAUCUUAUCCGAAGUUGGUGGAGGGAGAUUGAGGUCAAAGGCACUGCUAGCUUUAAAUUGGCUGCAAAGAUGAAGGGGAUCAAAUAGAAACUAAAAGCUUGGAAUAGAGAGGUUUUUGGGAAUCUGGAGUGCAAUAAAGUUUCAGCUUUGCAGUAGGUGGAAUUCUGGGACCGGAUGGAAAGUGAGAGAAGACUGUCAUUGGAGGAAACAGAAUUAAAAAAUGAAGCAAAUGAAAUUUAUAAAAAAUGGGUACUCAUGGAAGAAACCCAUUGGAGACAACUCUCAAGGGAGUUAUGGCUAAGGGAAGGGGAUAAAAAUACAGGUUUUUUCCAUCGUAUGGCAAACGCCCAUCAUAGAAAUAACUCCCUAGAUAGAAUUAAAAUUAAUGGGGUGUGGCUUUCAAAGGAGCAGGAAGUGAGGGAAGGGGUUGCUAAUGCCUACCAGCAAAUGAUCUCUGAAGAUUCUGGUUGGAAGGCGGAUAUUGGGAGGCUUCAAUUAGAACAAAUAAGCCAGCAAGAAGCAGAGAAUCUGGAGAUCCCUUUUUCUGAAACUGAGGUCCAUUCGGCUUUGUUGGAGAUGAAUGGGGACAAAGCCCCUAGGCCGGAUGGCUUUACUAUGGCGUUUUGGCAAAGCUGUUGGGAUUUCGUUAAAGAGGAGAUCUUGGAAAUGUGUAAGGAGUUCCAUGAGCAAAGCUCAUUUCUUAAGAGCCUCAAUAAUACUUUCCUGAUUCUGAUUCCUAAGAAAGGUGGGGCUGAGGAUCUUGGGGAUUUUAAACCCAUUAGCCUUUUAGGGGGGGCUGUAUAAACUACUGGCUAAAGUGUUGGCUAACAGACUCAAGAGAGUGUUAGGUAAAGUGGUAGCCCCAACCCAUAAUGCCUUUAUGUUGGGAAGACAAAUUCUUGAUGCUUCUUUAAUUGCAAAUGAGGUGAUAGACUCGUGGCAGAAAAGAAAAAAGAAAGGGCUCAUAUGCAAAUUGGAUAUUGAGAAAGCGUAUGACAGCAUUAACUGACAGUUCUUGUUGAAGGCCUUACAAAAAAUGGGAUUUGGAUCAAAGUGGUUGGGUUGGAUGUGGAGUUGUUUAUCCUGAGCCAAGUUCUCAAUCCUAGUUAAUGGGAUGCCAACUGGCUUUUUCCCAAGUACUAAGGUGCUAUGCCAAGGAGAUCCCCUAUCUCCUUACCUCUUUGUUUUGGGGAUGGAAGUGUUAGAUGCUCUUAUUAGGAGGGUUGUUGCUUGGGGUUUCCUUUUAGGGUGUAGUAUUCGGGGUGGUAGAAGGCCCACCCUGAAAAUAUCCCAUUUAUUCUUUGUCGAUGACACAGUUGUGUUCUGUGAGGCUAAUAAAAGCACCUAACUCACUUAAGCUGGAUAUUAUUCUGGUUUGAAGCUGCUUCAGGUCUAAGGAUUAAUUUGGCCAAAAGUGAAAUCAUCUCAAUUGGUGUGGUGGAGGAGAUUGAUGAGCUAGCAGCAGAGUUAGGGUGUAGGGUGGGUUCUUUGCCUUCUCAGUAUCUAGGUCUGCCUUUAGCGGCUCUUAACAAGGCUCAUUCUGUGUGGCAUGGGGUGGAAGAGAGAAUGAGGAGGAGACUUGCGCUGUGGAAACGACAAUAUAUCUCCAAAUGUGGGAGAAUCACUCUCAUAAAGAGCACUUUGGCUAGCAUGCCAAUUUAUCAUGUCUCUCUUCCAGAUGCCUAAGACCGUUGCUAAAAGGUUAGAAAAAGUACAAAGAGAUUUUCUUUGGGGAGGGGGAAACUUGGAAAGGAAAGCUCAUCUAGUUAAUUGGGAAGUGGUUUGUGCGGACAAGAAUAAGGGUGGGCUAGGCUUAAGGAAGCUAGUGCUCUUGAACAAAGCAUUGCUUGGUAAAUGGAUUUGGAGGUUUGCUUCUGAUAAAGAUAAUCUUUGGAAACAAGUGAUAAUGGCGAAAUAUGGGCAAGAAGGCCAUGGGUGGAGGACAAAGAAGGCUAAUGGGGCAUUUGGAGUAGGGGUUUGGAAGGAAAUUUUGAAGGAAACUGAUUGGUGUUGGGAUAACAUGGUGUUCAUAGCUGGGAAGGGUACCAAAAUCAGUUUCUAGACUGAUGUUUGGUGCACUAGUACAGCGCUGUCCCAAAACUUCCCUCAUCUAUUUGCUCUGGCUUUCCAUAGGAAUGCUACAGUGGAGGAGAUGUGGGAUCAAAAUUUUGGUCAAGGGGGUUGGAAUCUAAGAUUUUUGAAGGAUUUUAAUGAUUGGGAGUUGGAUAUGGUAGGGGAACUUGCUCUAUGUUUUGAGGGGUCACAGGGGCUCUUUGGAGGAAGACUCGGUUUUUUGGAAGGGAGGAAAAAAUGGACAGUUUAGGGUCAAAGAAGUGUACAGCUUGUUAGCCAAUCCCAAUGACAUUGCCUUUCCGUCAAGUUGUAUUUGGGUGGAUAAAGUUCCAACCAAGGUUGCGUUCUUUGCCUGGGAGGUUACGUGAGGGAGGGUGCUUACUCUGGAUAGGCUUCAAAAAAGAGGAUGGCAGCUCCCUAAUUGUUGUUUUUUGUGUGGGUGUGAAGAAGAAACUAUAAAUCAUAUUCUUAUACACUGUAUAGUGGUCAAAGUCCUGUGGAAUAUCGUCUUUGGGUUAUCAAGUGUGCAGUGGGUCUUUCCAAAAACUAUAAAGGAGGUUUUAACUAGUUGGAGGGGACCGUUUGUGGGGAAGAAAAGGAAAAAGAUAUGAAAAUUCAUACCGUUGUGUAUUUUUUAGAUAGUUUGGAAGGAGAGGAAUAGACUAGCUUCUAGCUUCUAGGGGGGGUGUGUUAGAUAUUCAAAAACUUAAGAAUUUUUUUGUUUGUAAUUUGUGGAGUUGGGCUAGAUUGUAUAUUGGAGAGGCGUCUCUAUCCCUUAUAGGUUUCAUGGAGUGGUUAGCUUCCAAUUAAGGUGUGGUGAGGCUCUGUUGGCUUUCUUUUUUGUUUGAGAGGUGUUAGUUGCUUUGUAUACCCCGUAUGCUUUGUGCCUUUUCGCCUCUGUUUUAAUGCAAUUUUGUUUUACUUAUCAAAAAAAAAAAUUAUUAUUAUUAUCGAUAGGAAAAUAAACUUUUGAACUAAAGAGUUAACUUCAAUUUAAAUGCAAUAUUUUAUGAAAUUUAACUUUCUAAGACCUAAUGAACUAGAUAAGUUAUUAAAUCUAUACAGAUUUAGCUUUAAGUAUUUGAUCAGAUUUAGAAUGCUAGUGUUGAAAGCUAAAGAUUUAGAAACUAUCACAUGAGCAAUGAACUUUUGAUUGCAGUUCUAGAACGUGUUAAGUAAGACUUAAUACAUCUUUUUGUUUCGUUAAGACUUCUGAGGAAGUGCCUAUAAAAUUUCAUAAAUCCUGGAGAACAAAAUCCUCUUUUCAGGAUGUUUCGAAGUCCAGGGCUGUUAUCAGCUCAUUUUACAUGAAACACACCUCAGACUUUGACAAAAAUAUCACAUAAUUAAGACCACCAUUUUCUUUUCCAUUUAAAAUGUGUAUCUCGCGCCUGUUCCCUUAACACAGAAACUGAUAGAUCAGCAUCCCGCAAAGUUUAAGUUAACUUUUUUGUAUAGAUGGUCAGUACUAAUUUUGAGAAUAUUACAACCCUAAUCUGACCUCUUUGAGCAUUAAGAUAACAAUUUUUCAGUUUUUUAAUCUUCAAAAAUAGGAAACCAAUAGCGGAAAAAAAAAAAGCUCAAUCCAGGCACUCAAAUAUGAAAUAUUGCUCUUUCAUUUAUCUCACCUGAUAAAGUAAGCUUCCAGUGCUGACAGCCACAAGAUUAUGGGCCACUGUAAAUUCCAGAUCAUAGCUGUAUGGAGAAUGUAAUAACUAACAUAAAUUCAUAGUAGAUAUCAUAAAUGGUCAAAGUUACGAAGUACAAAUCAUUAGGGCAUAAUCAAACAGUUAGUACCAGCAACACUGUGAAGUAUCAUCCAUACAAGGGAACCAACAGCGUGCACGCCUAAUCUGGUUAUCAGUGUGUAGCACAUUAUCCUCAAAAUGAAUCCCUGUCUCUGCCCUCUCCACCCAAUAGUCAACACGAACCAAUUUCACAUUCUGCACCCAACAUCAACCUACAUGAGAAACCAAAAAGAGAAGUGUAAACCUCAUCACAACAAUUCACAUUGUCCAAAUUAUAUUAUUAACCGAAUUGUGUUAGUUUAGGAGAGGAGAAAAAAUAAUAAUGGUUCAACCAAAAAUACAGCAGAUUCAGUGCCCAGGGUAAAAUUUUAAGUUUUGAAGAAGAGACAAAUGUAAUAACAGUACAACCUAUAAUAUCAGCUGUACCCUAUUCUGGUUAAAUGCUAACUAUAAAUAAGAAUAAGAUGAAAGCAAAGCAUGUUUGGAACCAAACUUUUUAUUAUGGAGAUGAAAUAGAGGACACACAAAGGAGCAGUCAUAGAAAAUCCUAACAGACACAACAAAGAUGCAGCAUGAACGCUGGUGUGUAUAUGGAAGGCAAAACACAUUUUUUUAUUAUUUUUUGCCUCCACAAACUAUUCUAAACUCUUUUUCUGGAAAAAGGAUAAGACUGCAAGUCACAUUUGACAAGGCUGCUGCAAUGUUUUGAAGCUGUUCUGCUUUGAAUAUAAAUAUGGAGACAGCAAACUAAUUUCAAUGAGGUUGGUGGAGAAGGUGGGGGUAGUUUGCCUCCAGAUUUUUUAUGCACAGGAGGACAACUGCUGAUCAGAUUUGGCUCUUCUUUUGGGUGCCUCUUUUAAAAGCUUGCUUUAGGAUUAGUACUGUGCUUUUUUUUCCCCUUUUUUGGAUGGGCAAUAAGAAUUUUAUUGAAAAGAACCUAACAAAAAGGGAUGCAUCUUGUGUAUGCAUGAAGUAUACAUCGAGUAUGUAAGGCACCAAUGUCUUAAUCCCUGCCUAAAAUGAUUCAAACACAUUAGAUCAAAAAAGCAAAAGAUAUCCAAAAAGAAUUUCAGUGUCACUUCCGAGUUCACCACACCCUCAAGAUGUCCAUGUCAGUCUAAAAACUACCUCCUGAUUAAGGGAGGUGACACACAUGACACUCAAAAAUAAGAGAGCACCAAGAAUCAUAAGGCCCAUGCCACCUUACAAUGUAUGAAAGUAUAGCUAGCUAAUUCCUCAUCUUGAUUGCAAAGGAACGCCAAGUCACAAAAAUCUGAUCCCAUCCUUAAGUUGAUCCUAAGUAAGAAUUUUCUCACAAGCAAUAAAAUUGACUCUAGAUGGCAACCAAGGAACCUAAACCCCCUUGGCAGGAAAAGAGACUUGCUCCCUCAAAUUCAAAAGGCUAUAAAGAGGUUGAAACAAACAAAAACAAAAAAAAGAAAUGUUGUUUCUACUGACACCCAUCCAAGCUAUUAGUACAACCACCACAAACUAAAUGCUCUAAAAAAAAAAAGCUUGCAACAUUUGCAAAGCCCAAUCUAGAAAUUGCUCCAAAAAUUAGGGGUCAACUACCUUGAUCACAGUCCCCCGCUACCAAAAAUCAUCUACCCAGCUACCUAACCAUAAAAAAUAAUCAAAUAAUAAAAUAGAAAAAAGUAAUACCAAAUAAAUGGAAACGAUUCCUCCAUUAGGUAAACCUUAUAUCAAGUGUCAAACUAAAACAUCAUCUCAAGAUCUAUAUUAACAACAAUAACACUUGUACAAGCUUGAAAAGCUUCCCAGCCUUUUCAACUGGCUUUACAGUGACCAACCCCAUACCCUCUCUGGCUUCCUUAAGAUUUGAAUCCUUGCAACUAUCCAAAUUUGCUUUGGAUAACCUUUUUCUAUAAAAAUAUCUUUCCUUGCAUUUUUUUGAAACCAUUUGCCUAGUAAAGUCAUUC
Molecule: long non-coding RNA, 22587 nt
Filed under: Vitis vinifera (wine grape)
Lineage: Eukaryota; Viridiplantae; Streptophyta; Magnoliopsida; Vitales; Vitaceae
Description: long non-coding RNA (VVIN_LNC005675)
Source: RNAcentral